Molecule: RNA transcript, 1131 nt
Organism: Eucalyptus grandis
Lineage: Eukaryota; Viridiplantae; Streptophyta; Magnoliopsida; Myrtales; Myrtaceae
Gene name: protein LIGHT-DEPENDENT SHORT HYPOCOTYLS 10
Exons: 3
Source: RefSeq, a predicted model, not a curated record
UUCGUGUCUCCUCGAGUAGCCCCCAUGAUGUUAACUUCGUCUUCCUCCACUUCUUCCUCUCCGCUCUUCUCCUUAAAACCUCCUCAAUAAUUUCUCUUCCAAGGGAAAUCAGUCCUAUACAAGCUUAUGCAGAGAAACCUUGAGGGAAGGAAAAAUUCUUGAUUUCCCAGAGAAAAAGCUGUGUCAUGUCGAUGGAUAAUAGAGGGAAAGAUCCCAUACAGGAAGGAUCCUCGAGAUCCGUCGCGCCUUCCGGUGACCAUCUGCCGCAACCGACUCAACUGAGCCGCUACGAGUCACAGAAGCGACGAGACUGGAACACUUUUGGGCAGUACUUGAGCAACCAAAGGCCUCCAGUCGCAAUCUCCCAGUGCAACUCCACUCAUGUCUUGGAAUUCCUCCGAUACCUUGAUCAGUUUGGAAAGACUAAGGUGCACUUCAACGGGUGUGUGUACUUUGGCCAGCCUGAGCCGCCGGGGCCUUGCACAUGCCCGCUCAAGCAAGCGUGGGGAAGCCUUGAUGCGCUCAUCGGUAGGCUGAGGGCUGCCUAUGAAGAAAACGGCGGGUUGCCAGAGACGAACCCAUUCGCCAGUAGCUCUAUUCGGGUCUACUUACGCGAAGUAAGGGAUUCUCAGGCCAAGGCUAGAGGAAUUCCCUACAAGAAGAAAAAGAAGAGACCGAAUCGGAGUUUGAUGAAGCCCAAUAGUACUUCUAGCUCAAGUAUUCCUCUUCACCAAUCUUGAGCUACAAAGAUUCUAGGAACUGGACACAUUCGAUGCUGGGUAGGAAAAAUGCUCUCUCUCUCUGUCGAUGCUGCGAGCUUGAGUGAGCGUGAAAAGUCCAAAUUACUCUUUGGAGCCCUUAUUGCCUAUCAUAUAUAGUCUUUUCCAGAAUCAAGAUUGCUUUUUUAUGACUCAAGAACUGUACUUUUCCUUAAUUGAGAGAGGCAAGUAUCCAAUGCAGCAGUGAUAGAGGAAUACUUGCCUUGUGGGUGAGUCUCAAUUUCUUCUUUUCCAAUCUUUUCAACUCAGGUGAUGACUGUUUGGAGGUUUGAAACAUUUGAGUUCAUGAAUGUCUUCCACCAUAUGUAUAACUAUUGAUGCAACUCUAUGACCACUGCAACUUUCCCCGACA